Molecule: ribosomal RNA, 569 nt
Filed under: uncultured Alphaproteobacteria bacterium
Lineage: Bacteria; Pseudomonadati; Pseudomonadota; Alphaproteobacteria
Description: bacterial SSU rRNA
Rfam family: Bacterial small subunit ribosomal RNA
Source: RNAcentral
GGCGGCAUGCCUAACACAUGCAAGUCGAACGAGACCUUCGGGUCUAGUGGCGCACGGGUGCGUAACGCGUGGGAAUCUGCCCUCUGGUACGGAAUAACUCAGGGAAACUUGUGCUAAUACCGUAUAGUGACUUCGGUCCAAAGAUUUAUCGCCUGAGGAUGAGCCCGCGUAGGAUUAGCUUGUUGGUGAGGUAAAAGCUCAUCAAGGCGACGAUCCUUAGCUGGUCUGAGAGGAUGAUCAGCCACACUGGGACUGAGACACGGCCCAGACUCCUACGGGAGGCAGCAGUGGGGAAUAUUGGACAAUGGGCGAAAGCCUGAUCCAGCAAUGCCGCGUGAGUGAUGAAGGCCUUAGGGUUGUAAAGCUCUUUUACCCGGGAUGAUAAUGACAGUACCGGGAGAAUAAGCCCCGGCUAACUCCGUGCCAGCAGCCGCGGUAAUACGGAGGGGGCUAGCGUUGUUCGGAAUUACUGGGCGUAAAGCGCACGUAGGCGGCUUUGUAAGUUAGAGGUGAAAGCCCGGGGCUCAACUCCGGAAUUGCCUUUAAGACUGCAUCGCUAGAAUUGUGGA